Molecule: long non-coding RNA, 388 nt
Organism: Lates calcarifer (barramundi perch)
Lineage: Eukaryota; Metazoa; Chordata; Actinopteri; Centropomidae
Exons: 3
Source: RefSeq, a predicted model, not a curated record
UUACACCACCCAAGGCCCAGCUUCCAUUCUCCAAUCACAUAAUAGUAAAUCCUGAAGGGCACGGUGACGAGAAAGAUGAAGUGGGCGAAGAUGAGGUUGAGUACAGCAAUGGAGGUGGUGGACGAAGAGGCGGACUUCAAGCUGAUGAUCUGAUUAAGAAGCGGCAGGCCCUGUUUUUGCUGCAGACUGGAGUGUGUGAGGGAUGGCACGUACGCACACACAGCCACGUGAAACAUCUGUAGAGUUUGACAGGUGCAGUGGCGUUCUCUGUCGUGAUGACCAGAGGUAACAGACUGAAGUGAAGAGAGUGAGCAGACCUGCACAUGUACUGAGCAAACAAAAUAUUUUACUUUAUUGUUAUGGAUAUGUUUAUACAUAAAGCUUAGUU